Molecule: long non-coding RNA, 468 nt
Organism: Penaeus indicus
Lineage: Eukaryota; Metazoa; Arthropoda; Malacostraca; Decapoda; Penaeidae
Exons: 3
Source: RefSeq, a predicted model, not a curated record
GCUGGGCCAAAAGUGCUCCGUUCACCUAUUCUCUCGGUCUUGUCUCCUGUACAUAACGUGAGAGCUAACUCACUUUCCGUCAGCUGUGCGUCGAGGCGAAAGACAAGAUGACAGUUAACCAAAAGAAUAUCAACCAUAAUCAUUAAAAAAAAACAGUGAUUGAUUGACCAGAUAAUUCUCUCUUUCGGUGAUAAACCAGCUGACACUCCCAAUUGGCAGACACUCCAAGCUUAACACUCUCGGCCGGCACUCUCUCUCUCUCUCCCUCUCUCCCUCUCUCUCCAAGGACGUCAGACACCCCAGCUGACGCCGCUCCUGCUUCUGAGGGAAUUACGUGCCCACAAACCAAGUUCUUCAACCUUCAUUGUAAUGGAUCAGGUGGAAAAUACACUUGUUACAACGUCACACAUCGCGGAUUCGACUCUGUAGUUCCAGACCAGGAUUGUUCUUGAAAGUAUCUGGAUGGGU